AUGAACGCUGGCGGCGUGCCUAAUACAUGCAAGUCGAGCGAACAGACGAGGAGCUUGCUCCUCUGACGUUAGCGGCGGACGGGUGAGUAACACGUGGAUAACCUACCUAUAAGACUGGGAUAACUUCGGGAAACCGGAGCUAAUACCGGAUAAUAUAUUGAACCGCAUGGUUCAAUAGUGAAAGACGGUUUUGCUGUCACUUAUAGAUGGAUCCGCGCCGCAUUAGCUAGUUGGUAAGGUAACGGCUUACCAUGGCAACGAUGCGUAGCCGACCUGAGAGGGUGAUCGGCCACACUGGAACUGAGACACGGUCCAGACUCCUACGGGAGGCAGCAGUAGGGAAUCUUCCGCAAUGGGCGAAAGCUUGACGGAGCAACGCCGCGUGAGUGAUGAAGGUCUUCGGAUCGUAAAACUCUGUUAUUAGGGAAGAACAAAUGUGUAAGUAACUAUGCACGUCUUGACGGUACCUAAUCAGAAAGCCACGGCUAACUACGUG
This 496-nucleotide ribosomal RNA is filed under the name uncultured bacterium. RNAcentral describes it as "partial 16S ribosomal RNA". It matches the Rfam family "Bacterial small subunit ribosomal RNA", at positions 29 to 507 of the family's 1533-position model. The record is from RNAcentral.